RNAcentral lists this ribosomal RNA (775 nucleotides) under uncultured bacterium. RNAcentral's name for it is "bacterial SSU rRNA". It matches the Rfam family "Bacterial small subunit ribosomal RNA", at positions 62 to 848 of the family's 1533-position model. The record is from RNAcentral.
UCGAGCGAAAUAAUUGAGAGCUUGCUUUUAUUAUUUUAGCGGCGGACGGGUGAGUAACGUGUGGGCAACCUGCCUUUUACUGGGGAAUAAUCACUGGAAACGGUGACUAAUACCGCAUAAUAUUCUUAGGAGGCAUCUUCUGAGAAGGAAAGGAGAAAUUCGGUAAAAGAUGGGCCCGCAUCUGAUUAGCUAGUUGGUGGGAUAACAGCCCACCAAGGCGACGAUCAGUAGCCGACCUGAGAGGGUGACCGGCCACAUUGGGACUGAGACACGGCCCAAACUCCUACGGGAGGCAGCAGUGGGGAAUAUUGCACAAUGGGGGAAACCCUGAUGCAGCAACGCCGCGUGAAGGAAGACGGUUUUCGGAUUGUAAACUUCUAUCAAUAGGGAAGAAAGAAAUGACGGUACCUAAAUAAGAAGCCCCGGCUAACCACGUGCCAGCAGCCGCGGUAAUACGUAGGGGGCAAGCGUUAUCCGGAAUUACUGGGUGUAAAGGGAGAGUAGGCGGCAAGGUAAGCGAUAUGUGAAAGCCUUAGGCUUAACCUGAGGAUUGCAUAACGAACUAUCUAGCUAGAGUACAGGAGAGGAAAGCGGAAUUCCUAGUGUAGCGGUGAAAUGCGUAGAUAUUAGGAAGAACACCAGUGGCGAAGGCGGCUUUCUGGACUGAAACUGACGCUGAGGCUCGAAAGCGUGGGGAGCGAACAGGAUUAGAUACCCUGGUAGCCCACGCUGUAAACGAUGAGUGCUAGGUGUCGGGGAGGAAUCCUCGGUGCCG